Molecule: ribosomal RNA, 2929 nt
Filed under: Citrobacter koseri
Lineage: Bacteria; Pseudomonadati; Pseudomonadota; Gammaproteobacteria; Enterobacterales; Enterobacteriaceae
Description: bacterial LSU rRNA
Rfam family: Bacterial large subunit ribosomal RNA
Source: RNAcentral
GGGUUGUGAGGUUAAGCGACCAAGCGUACACGGUGGAUGCCCUGGCAGUCAGAGGCGAUGAAGGACGUGCUAAUCUGCGAAAAGCGCCGGCGAGGUGAUAUGAACCCUUGACCCGGCGAUGUCCGAAUGGGGAAACCCAGUGUGAUUCGUCACACUAUCGUUAGCUGAAUACAUAGGUUAACGAGGCGAACCGGGGGAACUGAAACAUCUAAGUACCCCGAGGAAAAGAAAUCAACCGAGAUUCCCCCAGUAGCGGCGAGCGAACGGGGAGGAGCCCAGAGCCUGAAUCAGCUUGUGUGUUAGUGGAAGCGUCUGGAAAGUCGCACGGUACAGGGUGAAAGUCCCGUACACGAAAAUGCACAGGCUGUGAGCUCGAUGAGUAGGGCGGGACACGUGGUAUCCUGUCUGAAUAUGGGGGGACCAUCCUCCAAGGCUAAAUACUCCUGACUGACCGAUAGUGAACCAGUACCGUGAGGGAAAGGCGAAAAGAACCCCGGCGAGGGGAGUGAAAAAGAACCUGAAACCGUGUACGUACAAGCAGUGGGAGCCUCUUUAUGGGGUGACUGCGUACCUUUUGUAUAAUGGGUCAGCGACUUAUAUUCUGUAGCAAGGUUAACCGUAUAGGGGAGCCGAAGGGAAACCGAGUCUUAACUGGGCGUUAAGUUGCAGGGUAUAGACCCGAAACCCGGUGAUCUAGCCAUGGGCAGGUUGAAGGUUGGGUAACACUAACUGGAGGACCGAACCGACUAAUGUUGAAAAAUUAGCGGAUGACCUGUGGCUGGGGGUGAAAGGCCAAUCAAACCGGGAGAUAGCUGGUUCUCCCCGAAAGCUAUUUAGGUAGCGCCUCGUGAACUCAUCUCCGGGGGUAGAGCACUGUUUCGGCUAGGGGGCCAUCCCGGCUUACCAACCCGAUGCAAACUGCGAAUACCGGAGAAUGUUAUCACGGGAGACACACGGCGGGUGCUAACGUCCGUCGUGAAGAGGGAAACAACCCAGACCGCCAGCUAAGGUCCCAAAGUCAUGGUUAAGUGGGAAACGAUGUGGGAAGGCCCAGACAGCCAGGAUGUUGGCUUAGAAGCAGCCAUCAUUUAAAGAAAGCGUAAUAGCUCACUGGUCGAGUCGGCCUGCGCGGAAGAUGUAACGGGGCUAAACCAUGCACCGAAGCUGCGGCAGCGACACUUAGGUGUUGUUGGGUAGGGGAGCGUUCUGUAAGCCGUUGAAGGUGUGCUGUGAGGCAUGCUGGAGGUAUCAGAAGUGCGAAUGCUGACAUAAGUAACGAUAAAGCGGGUGAAAAGCCCGCUCGCCGGAAGACCAAGGGUUCCUGUCCAACGUUAAUCGGGGCAGGGUGAGUCGACCCCUAAGGCGAGGCCGAAAGGCGUAGUCGAUGGGAAACAGGUUAAUAUUCCUGUACUUGGUGUUACUGCGAAGGGGGGACGGAGAAGGCUAUGUCGGCCGGGCGACGGUUGUCCCGGUUUAAGCAUGUAGGCGGAGGUUCCAGGUAAAUCCGGUACCUUAUUAAACGCUGAGGUGUGAUGACGAGGCACUACGGUGCUGAAGUGACAAAUGCCCUGCUUCCAGGAAAAGCCUCUAAGCAUCAGGUAACACGAAAUCGUACCCCAAACCGACACAGGUGGUCAGGUAGAGAAUACCAAGGCGCUUGAGAGAACUCGGGUGAAGGAACUAGGCAAAAUGGUGCCGUAACUUCGGGAGAAGGCACGCUGAUAUGUAGGUGAAGUGAUUUACUCAUGGAGCUGAAAUCAGUCGAAGAUACCAGCUGGCUGCAACUGUUUAUUAAAAACACAGCACUGUGCAAACACGAAAGUGGACGUAUACGGUGUGACGCCUGCCCGGUGCCGGAAGGUUAAUUGAUGGGGUUAUCCCUCGGGAGAAGCUCUUGAUCGAAGCCCCGGUAAACGGCGGCCGUAACUAUAACGGUCCUAAGGUAGCGAAAUUCCUUGUCGGGUAAGUUCCGACCUGCACGAAUGGCGUAAUGAUGGCCAGGCUGUCUCCACCCGAGACUCAGUGAAAUUGAACUCGCUGUGAAGAUGCAGUGUACCCGCGGCAAGACGGAAAGACCCCGUGAACCUUUACUAUAGCUUGACACUGAACACUGGUCCUUGAUGUGUAGGAUAGGUGGGAGGCUUUGAAGUGCGGACGCCAGUCUGCAUGGAGCCGCCCUUGAAAUACCACCCUUUAAUGGCUGGUGUUCUAACGUGGGCCCGUAAUCCGGGUUGCGGACAGUGUCUGGUGGGUAGUUUGACUGGGGCGGUCUCCUCCUAAAGAGUAACGGAGGAGCACGAAGGUCAGCUAAUCCUGGUCGGACAUCAGGAGGUUAGUGCAAUGGCAUAAGCUGGCUUGACUGCGAGCGUGACGGCGCGAGCAGGUGCGAAAGCAGGUCAUAGUGAUCCGGUGGUUCUGAAUGGAAGGGCCAUCGCUCAACGGAUAAAAGGUACUCCGGGGAUAACAGGCUGAUACCGCCCAAGAGUUCAUAUCGACGGCGGUGUUUGGCACCUCGAUGUCGGCUCAUCACAUCCUGGGGCUGAAGUAGGUCCCAAGGGUAUGGCUGUUCGCCAUUUAAAGUGGUACGCGAGCUGGGUUUAGAACGUCGUGAGACAGUUCGGUCCCUAUCUGCCGUGGGCGCUGGAGAACUGAGGGGGGCUGCUCCUAGUACGAGAGGACCGGAGUGGACGCAUCACUGGUGUUCGGGUUGUCAUGCCAAUGGCACUGCCCGGUAGCUAAAUGCGGAAGAGAUAAGUGCUGAAAGCAUCUAAGCACGAAACUUGCCCCGAGAUGAGUUCUCCCUGACUCCUUGAGAGUCCUGAAGGAACGUUGAAGACGACGACGUUGAUAGGCCGGGUGUGUAAGCGCAGCGAUGCGUUGAGCUAACCGGUACUAAUGAACCGUGAGGCUUAACCUUACAACGCCGAAG